This 495-nucleotide ribosomal RNA is filed under the name uncultured bacterium. Its description in RNAcentral is "partial 16S ribosomal RNA". It matches the Rfam family "Bacterial small subunit ribosomal RNA", at positions 28 to 507 of the family's 1533-position model. The record is from RNAcentral.
GACGAACGCUGGCGGCGUGCCUAAUACAUGCAAGUAGAACGCUGAAGGAGGAGCUUGCUUCUCUGGAUGAGUUGCGAACGGGUGAGUAACGCGUAGGUAACCUGCCUGGUAGCGGGGGAUAACUAUUGGAAACGAUAGCUAAUACCGCAUAAUAUUGACUAUUGCAUGAUAGUCAGUUGAAAGGUGCAACUGUACCACUACCAGUUGGGCCUGCGUUGUAUUGGCGAGUUGGGGGGGUAAAGGCUCACCAAGGCGACGAUACAUAGCCGACCGGAGAGGGGGCUCGGCCACACUGGGAAUGAGACACGGCCCAGACGGCUACGGGAGGCAGCAGUAGGGAAACGUCGGCAAUGGGCGGAAGUCUGACCGAGCAACGCCGCGUGAGUGAAGAAGGGUGUCGGAUCGUAAAGCUCGGUUGUAAGAGAAGAACGAGUGUGAGAGUGGAAAGCUCACACUGUGACGGUAUCUGACCAGAAAGGGACGGCUAACUACGUG